UUCACCCUCUUGUUUUCUCCGUAAACUUUGACUAUUUUAUCCUUCAUCUUUCAUAUUUUCACCUUCUUGACUUUACCCGCAUCCUCUUUACUACCAACUAUCAACCCUCCUUUUGACAAUUUUUCUUUCUGGAUCGAGGACGUGAAACUUCAAACGUGAAACUCCGGUGAAACCAACGCAAGCGUCCUCUUCAACAUUGACAACAGAAAGCCCAGACACAGACUGCACUCCAGCCCAAGUCCAAGUGGCAGCUUGUUUUUUUUUUGUUUUUGUUUUUUUAAAUAAACACUUGCAUUACA
Long non-coding RNA from Engraulis encrasicolus (European anchovy), 299 nucleotides. RefSeq lists it as uncharacterized. NCBI's taxonomy places the organism in Eukaryota, Metazoa, Chordata, Actinopteri, Clupeiformes, Engraulidae. The transcript has 2 exons. The record is from RefSeq and is a predicted model, not a curated record.